UCUCUGAUGUCUCAAUAAGAUCUGCUUACCCUUCACUGUGUGCUCAGUAGAAUAGAAGGGAAAUGAAGAAACCUGUGGCUGAGAGA
Non-coding RNA from Balearica pavonina (black crowned-crane), 86 nucleotides. The record is from Rfam. Lineage: Eukaryota; Metazoa; Chordata; Aves; Gruiformes; Gruidae.